UGGGACUACAGGAUUCUGACCAAUUUGAUGGAGUCUCCCUUUAUUGCCCAGGCUGGACUGCAGUGGCGUGAUCUCGGCUCACUGCAAGCUCCGCCUCCCGGAUUCAAGCGAUUCUUCUGCCUCAGCCUGCGAUUCUUCUGCCUCAGCCUCCCGAGUAGCUGGGACUACAGGCACGUGCUACCACACCUGGCUAAGUUUUUGUAUUUUUAGUAGAGAUGGGGUUUCACCAGAUUAGCCAGGAUGGUCUCCAGCUCCUGACCUCGUGAACCGCCCGCCUUCGUCUUACAAAGUGCUGGGAUUACAGGCAUGAGCUUCCGCGCCCGGCCCCGAAACUUUCUUUCAACAAGAGUUAGAGGAGUACAGAGAAGAGAAUAAAUUGGUGCGACAAGAUAAUGAACCUCCAUUCCUCUGAGAGAAGAGUAUUUUGAAUAUUCGACUUUGCCCAUGAAUUUCCCUUUCCAGGUCUUGCUCUGUUGCCCAGGUUGGAGUAAAAUGGUACAAUCACAGUUCACUGCAGCCUCGACCUCUCCAGUUCAAGUGAUCCUCCUGACUCUGCCUUCUGAGUGGCUGAGACUAUAGGCAUGCAUCAUUAUGCCUGGCUUUUUAAAAAACUUUUUGUAAAGAUGGGGUCUCCCUAUGUUGCCCAGGCUGAUCUUGAACACCUGGGCUCAAGGGAUCCUCCUGCCUUGGCAUCCCAAAGUAUUGAGAUUACAGGCAUGAGCCACCAUGCCUGGUCCUAACAUCAUUUUUUGGAUACUGCGCUUACUUCCUAAGAUCAAGAACAAGGGGGAAAAAAACCAUCUUUUCGAAGAUUAAAGAAUUUUUCUGUGGCACCGCAGAGCUGAGGAGCGAUUGGACACUGAAUGAGGGGUAUAGUGAAUCUGGCUCCGAGAGAAGCCCUCUAAAUGGAAUAGCAGGUAGCUGUAUGGUGAGCAUUCCUCUCCCAGCAAUCUGUUGUUCUUUGUGAGCAGACUGGAGUGUGACAGCUGUGAAAACGAUCAAAGGCAGGUCCCAGACAGGAGAGGGCUGAUGACAAUGCCAGUUUCCCUCUAAGACCCUGUGGACAGCAGGGCCAUGAGGGAUGCUGUGACACAGAGUCUUGCUUGAUGCAGUGUGUGGUGUUACUCACAGGAGUGGGUUCAGCCACUCUUGGUGUGAAACCCAAGGAAAAUGUCUCUGCCGCAGCUGAUGUCAACAUGUACAGCAUGUGACCAGCUUGCAUUAAAGGAGAUGUGUGUAUGAGUUCUGCAGAAGUCCACCAAAUGUGGGCCAGGGUUAUUUCCCUGGUGAUGCUCUGAAGCUUUUGCCAAAGGACAAAUGGAAACAGGAAGUACAAUCAUGCACUGGGGUAAAGAAGAUUCAUCUGCUCUUAGCUACCUACCAUGCCAACACUCCUGAGAAAGCUCACAGAGGCCCAUGAUGCCCACCUGGAUCUGAGGACCUAGAAAGCCACAACAGGCAACCAUAAUCUGGGUCUUCCCUCAGCCAACUCCCCUGCAUAAAGUGAAUGAAUGAAAAACCCAUCUUAUAUUAAUCAGAGUUCUCUAGAGAAAAAGAACCAAUCAGAUGUGUAUAUAUAGAAAGAGAGAAUUAUUUUAGGGAAUUAGCUCACAUCAUUAUGCAGGCUGGUCAAUCAAAAAUCUGUGGAGUGGGCUAGCAGGCUGGAGACCCAGGGAAAGGCUAAAUUGCAGUUUAGAUCAGAAGGUCAUCUACUGGCAGAAUUCCCUCAUCUUCCAGGAAGGUGGAUCUUUUUCUACCAAGGCCUUCAGUUUAUUAGAUUAGGCCCAUGAACAUGCUGGAGGGUAAUCUGCUUUACUCAAUACAUACUGAUUUGAAUGUUAGUAUCAUCAAAAAGACCUUCACAGAAACAUCUAAAAUAAUGUUUGACCAAAUGUCUGCAUACCAUGGCCAAGCCAAGUUUACACAUAAAAUUAAUUAUCACACAUCCCACGAACACCAUCCCCAACAGAUGCUCAUGAGCAUUGUGGUUAUGAUUUCAACUUCAGAAUAAGGCAGAAAUGUGUACAAAUCCUGACCCUUUGACUUAUCAGCUCUCUAAAAAUCAUUAUAUGUCAACUUUCUAGACUUUACCUGAAAAACAGAAACCAAGAUACCCACAGCAUAAGAUUGUUAGGAUUGAAGAAAUUGUUACGAUUGUUAGGUAUGAAGAAAUUUAAACAAUGAUGCAGCUGAGAUAUUUAGAAUUGUACCUGGCAUGUACUUUGUAUUAAAUAACUAAUAAGGCCUUUUUCUGGUGAAAACAAAAUAAGCCUGGAUAAAAGAAGAUGAGACCAGAUUGGUUGAUGGCUCGGCCUGGGUGGGCUCCUGGCCCAUCUGAAAUUACAUUACUCUUAUGUAGUGCCUUUUUUGUUAUUGCUAAAAUAAAAUAAAUAAAACACUCUACUUUCAUACUUUGUAAAAUGCACUUCUCAUUCAGUUCCUCUUCCUGUGCCUUUUCCCUAUUGUCUAUCUGCACACAGCUGUUUUCUUCUGCACAUUUUCAUCACAGAGAAUUACCAGGUGUAGGUCAAAAGAUGCCACAGAGAUAACAAAGGAAAGGAAAAGCUUUUCUGCACUUCUAUCCUUGUAAGCACAAAAAUUAAUCACACUUUCAGUAAACAGGUCAGGUAAGUCAGUCCUGCACUUGAACCUUUUCUCCCCAAAUAAAUAGUUGAAAUGGGAAUGUCGAUUUCUGUAUUUGAACAGAAAUGUAUUAGUGUAGCUUUCAAAAGAAGACUACUCUCUCCAUAUGAAUAUCAUCAGACCCACAAAUACACAUAUGCAUACAUUCACAGUUCAUCCUAACGCUGCAGAAUAUUCUAAGAGUAACACAUUUCUGUACAAAUCAAGCAGCAGCUUUCACUUGCAUGCUAAUCUUCAAAUUAAUUCUGCAAUGAUCCAUUCAUUCCACAUCCCAACCUACAUCCUCAGAAAAACAAAGAUGUAAGUAAGGAACUCAGUAUAACAUGUUUGACUUUAGACACUACUCAAAUAUACUCAAACUUUAUAUGAAUAUGGAUAUUGCUCCUAGAUUAGGCAGUUCAGAAAACAAAUCUUGAUUAUUCUUAGUUACAAUGUAGUAUAAAAUAACAACAAUUUCAUGUCAACAACAGAAUCUCCUAAAAGAUCUUAUAAAGAUAAAAAGUCUUAGGUGUUAGUCGUCAAAGACUAAGUUGUAAAUGUAUCAUUGUAUUUGUGUAGUUAAUAAAACCCUAGACAAGAUAUGGGUUCCAGUUCUUGAACCACCACCACCUGUUCACCUUAAAUAAGUCAACUAAC
Molecule: long non-coding RNA, 3279 nt
Filed under: Homo sapiens (human)
Lineage: Eukaryota; Metazoa; Chordata; Mammalia; Primates; Hominidae
Description: HSALNT0192939
Source: RNAcentral